Long non-coding RNA from Junco hyemalis (dark-eyed junco), 617 nucleotides. Lineage: Eukaryota; Metazoa; Chordata; Aves; Passeriformes; Passerellidae. The record is from Ensembl.
UCAGGUUCGAGUGCUGUCUCAAGUAUCUCUUCUUGAGGUGCAAGGAAUGCAUCUUCCUGAGUUUAGCGUCUUUGGUGCCUAUUUCUGACUCUCACAGCUGUACUUGGAGCAUAAUCUGGCCUAUAGUAAAUAUUUUAAAGUUUAUCCUGGAAGAUGAGCUUCAUCAAAUAGAUGCAUAUUCUGUAGAAGAGAGAAUGCCUUUUGUUAGACAUCUGAACGAAGUGCAGAGGAUCAUCUCUCCACAAUGACUCUCAGAUGCAAAGGAAAAUCCUCGACCUCUUCUUUUAGCACCUGUUAAAAGGUUUGGACUUCUGGGAUGUUCUUCAAAUCAACCUGCAGAAUGGCCACAGCUUGGAGGGAGACCUGCCCUUUUGCCACCAGCCAUUUGUGUUAAACCACUGCAGCACCAAUGGGGAGCUUCAGCUAAGAAGACACUGACAGCACUGAGAACGUGGAAGUCCUGUAACCACCAUCACACCCUCUGUCACCUGCGAGAAAUGAAAAAUUGAAGAAGGCUUGUCCUUUAAAACAAAUGCUCAUGAAUGUCACUGCUGCACCUUUGUGAUUUUAAAUUCAAGUUGUAAACAGUCACAGAAUAAAGUUGUGUGUUUUACUCA